UUUAAAUUUCAAAUAUACACUAGCAGUUACCACAUCCAGGGUCUUUAUAUUGCCUUCAUUUGUUUUUUAUUUAUCUCCUCCCAGUAGAUUUUAAGUUUCGCUGUCUAUCUUGCCAUCUCUUCUCUGAGCCUCUUGGGACUCUGUCAUGAGCAGCCUGGACUCUUGCAGACCUGUGCUUCUGUAUCUCCGUGGACCGAGAACACAAUUGUUAAAAGAUUAAAAUAAUAGCAGCCCUGGCUGAGUGAGCUGAGAAGUUUUGUUCUUAUUUCGACAAAUUGAAAUCUGACAAGAAUGGAUAUGGGAGAAGACAGAGAGCCAGCAAGAUAGAAUGAGUUUGUGAUCGUAAAAGGACUUCAACCAGCACUGCUAACCAAGGGCUUAGAAAGAGUUUGAUCUACAGGCAUGGGAUCCCACACAAAAUUUCACUGGACCAAGACACCCAUUAUACAGCAAAGGAGGUGAGCAGUGGGCACAUGACCAUGGUAUCCACAGUCCUAUCAUGUACUCCACCACCCACGGGCUGCUGGACUGACAGAGCACUGGAACAAUCUGUUGAAGGGUCAGCUGAGGUGCCAUCUUGGAGAGGAUGCCCUGUCCAGAUGGACCGCUAUCCUCUAAGAUGUAGUAUAUACCUCAAAUUGUUAAAUAUUAGAUGGUGCUGUGUUUUCAAGACCCAGGAAGCAAGAAGCAGAAGUAAAAAUGACCUUGCUUAUCAUCGGCCCCAGUGACUCCUUUAGAGAAUUUGUGCUUCCCUUCUCUUUAACUCUGGAUUCUGACAUUUUAUAGUCUUGUUUCUUAGAGAGUGAAUGGGUCCACCAAAGAACACAGCAAGGUUCUAUUAAGAUAAUUAAUAGGAUUAAGCUCCUGCUCGGUUACUUCAAAGAUCUUGUCCCAAGAGACCAAUAGGCAAGGAAAGUAGUCACCAUACUGGCAUGAACAAUUGACCUUGACCUUCAGGCAGAGGUAGAGCUGCUCGUACACACUAGGGGCAGGGAAGAAUAUAUUUGGCACUCAAGUGAUCCACUUGGGUUGCUCUUGGUAACCGUUGCCCAAUUUUGUUGGUAAAUGUGGCAGCAACACCACCUGGGAAGGUUAUGGUGACCAGUGGCCCGUGGCCACUCUUAUCCAGAGAUAAAACGUCUGUAUCACCUCAGCAGCCCAGCCAGCUAGACCAGCAGAGGUGCUGGUUGAGGGCGAAGAGACUCUAGAACAGAUGGUGGAAGCCUGGCAGAAAGACUGUCUGUUACUGCCUCAAGGUCAGUGCAGUGGCAGAGAUGGAAGUUUUUCUCCCUAACCUUCUUGUAAGAUUCCCCCAGGAAAAGAAACCAAACAGAAUACUGGAGGAGUUUCUCCUAGAGUUUAUAAUACGAAGGAAGUGGAUCCAAGUGGAGUAAGGAGUUGUCCACAGAGGAUACCAUGGUGUGCCACCCAGAUCCCCCUCCAGGUCAGUUCAUUCAUCCCCUGAGCUGGUGGGAGUGUUGGUGGCAAAUAACAGUCAGCUGACUUCCCUUUCUGGGACUUUCCAUAAGCUGGAGAGAGCUGUCUUGCCCAAACUUAUGCAAAGGGGGAACCUGCAAUUAACACCUCAAUUUUAUUUUAUUUUGUUUUUUGGUGAGGAAGAUUGUUUCUGAGCUAACAUCUGUUGCCAA
Molecule: non-coding RNA, 1649 nt
Organism: Equus caballus (horse)
Lineage: Eukaryota; Metazoa; Chordata; Mammalia; Perissodactyla; Equidae
Source: RefSeq, a predicted model, not a curated record